Molecule: long non-coding RNA, 2105 nt
Filed under: Marmota monax (woodchuck)
Lineage: Eukaryota; Metazoa; Chordata; Mammalia; Rodentia; Sciuridae
Source: RNAcentral
GCUAUUCCUGUUUUUUGGCAGUCAAAAUCUGUUAUUUUUUUCAACCAAUGAAUAGCUAUUAGAGGCCUUCCAAAUGCUGUUAUUUUGGAUUUUUAAUUUAACUGUAAAAUGUGUCUCCUUUGCUAAAACAGGAGAGAGAUUUUCAGUUAAUGUUGCAUGGUAGAGAAAAAAAACACUUGAGAACCAACUUCUAUACUCACAUAAAAUAGUAAUAAAACAUAAAAUCCAAACUAAAUAUAACUGUGGUAUUUCUUUGCUUAAAAGCUCUCAGAUUGCAAUAUUUUAUAUUAAAUCUGUCUUCACCUAUUCACACAUGUUCAUCUUGGAUAGCAUUUGGGUCAAUAUAAGUGCAUUAGCUGCUUAAGGUUAACUUGAUCACAUUGGUUCACCAUCAGAGAGUGAUUAGUGUCAAUUUCCUGGGUAAAAGGAUUUUCCUUGCAUGUGGUAAGGUAUGCUGCAUGAAUCAUGCUCCUUAAGGUACAGGCUUGAAUCAGUGUUGUUAAAUGUGUGUGUGUGUGUAUUAUCUCUGUAUGUGUGUGUGUGUGUGUGUGUGUGUGUGUAUAAUAUAAUUUAGAGCAAUUUCUAGGUUAUUACUAUAAUAUCCUUCCUGUGUAGCUGAGAAAAUAUAUGCCAGAAUUUGAAUUUGUGUUAAUAGAGUUUGAAUAUCAAGUCCAUUUUUUAGAAACAAUUUAUGGGGCAUUCUAAGAAUUUUUCCAUAUAAUAGCUUUCCUAUUAAUUUUAUGGAUCUUUGUUGUAUGUGAACUUUUCCAGUCCCAGUUAUAAAAACCUGACUGUAGCCAACAUCAGCAAAAAAAAAAAAAAGAAGAAGAAAGAAGAAAAAAGAAAUUCGUUAGAUUAUAAAAUUAAGAAUUCCAAGGGAAGCUCAUCCCUCAGGCAUGGUGUAUCAAUUUGGAUCUAAUCAGGAGAAAGAAACCACAUAGUAAUUUGAACAGGGAAAGUUUAAUAUAAAGAAUUAUUAACUGUAACAAAGAAUUAGAGUAUCAAAGGAUUGAGUACUAAGAAGUGAAAAGAAUACAGGAAUAGCCUGUAUAAAGAGCAGAGAAGUAAGAGCUCAACCCCCAGGUUGAGGCCCAGAUCUCAUUCUGAUUUUACAUUUUUAAUUGACUAUAAAUUUACCUCUUUUCCUAAAAUAGGAGAGAUAUUUUCAGUUAAUGGAGCAUGGUGGAAGACAAAGCAGCGGUGGCCUUGUGUUACUGAACAGCCUAGAAGUCACUUGGUGCUGUGGCCAUAGACAAUCUUGGAAGCCCUCCCUCUUGUACUUGCUUGAAAGGAGCCCUUUGGGAUGCCGGAAAUAUUCACAGGGAGGUGUCUCACUAUAGGCACUCAACUACAAAACUGCCUUAGGAAAUACAUACACAGGGGCAGAGUGGGAGGGAGCUGCGGGGGCCAGGGAAUGUUCUGGCCACUCUGAGUGGCAGAUGCUCAAUGCUGAAAAAUCAGUGAGUGCUGCAGGAGCUGGGCCCUGAAGAAGCCAUGGGUAUGCAGGAGUGGCUGGGGGCUAAAGAAGCUGCACUGUGCUGUGGGAGCCUACAGAGUCAGCACAGACAGCCUGCAGGAUGGAAUCAGCAAAAUCCCAUUUUCUUCUGCAAUGACUCUCUUGCGCCCUCUACUGACAGUGGUUAGUAUGGUGUCACUUGGCAAAUGAAAAUAAUUUAAAGGGAUCAUAUCCAUUUUCAUAGAGCAAACAAAAAGGAUUAAUUUAGAGCAAAGAUGACCAGAUCCAAAAACUCAAAUGGUGUUUGCAGGGUUUGGUUUUUUUCUAAGUAUUGUUUUCCUCUGGUCUGGCUUUUUUCUAGGCUAGUUGGCUCCAUAUUUUAUUAGAAAGAAUUCAGCAGCUGAAGAGACAUUCUCUUUUUGGCAAUUAUAAGAAAAAUCCAAGAAUUGAGUCUUGUUGACUUUAAUUAGCCUGGCUUGUGCCAGUAUGACUGGGGAAUGUGAUAUUCGUUUCACAUCAUUUGAUGUUAUGCACCCCAUCCUCACCUUCCUUAGAGUGCUAUUACCAGAGAAAGGAGAUUGUUCCUGGGGAGCCAAAGUAAUGUCCAGUAAGCAAAACUCCAGAACUUAUUACAUUCUUUAAAUAUGUG